Molecule: ribosomal RNA, 255 nt
Filed under: uncultured bacterium
Lineage: Bacteria
Description: partial 16S ribosomal RNA
Rfam family: Bacterial small subunit ribosomal RNA
Source: RNAcentral
UACGUAGGGGGGCAAGCGUUGUCCGGAUUUAUUGGGCGUAAAGAGCGUGUAGGCGGCCAUGUAGGUCCGUUGUGAAAACUCGAGGCUCAACCUCGAGACGCCGAUGGAAACCAUGUGGCUAGAGUCCGGAAGAGGAGAGUGGAAUUCCUGGUGUAGCGGUGAAAUGCGCAGAUAUCAGGAAGAACACCCGUGGCUAAGGCGGCUCUCUAGUACGGUACUGACGCUGAGACGCGAAAAGCGUGGGGAGCAAACAGG